RNAcentral lists this long non-coding RNA (538 nucleotides) under Triticum aestivum (bread wheat). Its description in RNAcentral is "long non-coding RNA (TAES_LNC004841)". Lineage: Eukaryota; Viridiplantae; Streptophyta; Magnoliopsida; Poales; Poaceae. The record is from RNAcentral.
GUUAAACAGUCAUAUCUUUUUACCCGUAGCUCCGAAUCAGGUGAUUCCAAAGCCCACGUCUUCGUUUCGUCGAGCCCGUUCCGUUGAUAUCAUUUUCAUAAUGUUUUCACAUAGUGAAAAUGACCAUUCUGCCCUUGCCCGUAAACAGCCCCCUUCGAGAGAGAACUGUUUCUGGCAAAUCUUUCCGCGAUCGUUUCCCACUUCUUCCCGGAGUAUUUGUCGACCUCCAGGCAAGCCAACCUCUUAUCAUGAGCCCUGAACUUGCAUGUUGACUUUGCUUGCACCUUGUGUGUGUGUGUAGUUGCAGUUGUUUUAUAUCGUUUUCAUCGGCAGUUAUUUCUUUAUGCCUAUCUUGCAUGCUUGUGUUUCAUGAUACCUUUGCCAUGUUAAUUAGAAUGUUAUUAUUAAUAAUGCCAUGCCACUACUCUACUUUAUUUGCAUGUCAUCGUCAUAAACUGUUAUGAGGAUUGUAAUGCACCGUUGAUAUACUAUUGUCGUGUCCUUUAUGUUAUAGUUGUGCACUUGAGUAGUUCAAUAU